RNAcentral lists this long non-coding RNA (728 nucleotides) under Podarcis lilfordi (Lilford's wall lizard). The record is from RNAcentral. Lineage: Eukaryota; Metazoa; Chordata; Lepidosauria; Squamata; Lacertidae.
CGGGGCUGGGGCAUGAGCCUGAAGGGUCCUCACCUGUGCUGGAUCCUCAGGUGCAGGCACCAGCUGAGUCUGCUCUGGCUCCUGAGGUGAUGGCGGACCCAUUGCCUGCAGGUGCUCCACUCUCAGUCCCGUCAGAGGAAGCUGAGGUUGCCUCUGGGUCUGGUAACCCUCCAGCCUCUCCUGAGCUGCAGAGGGCAGAGAGGCGGAGGGAACUAAGUUCCCGCAGGAGGAGUGCUCACCUCCAGGCCAGGAGAGGCGAGUCACCUGUGGACUGGGGCCGCCCUAUGCCUCGGGGCAGAUAAAAGCCAGCCACCCCCCAGUCCCAGGUUGCGGGAGCAACAUUGUUAGUAGCCUGUUCCCUCCUGUACCCUGUCCUGCUCUUCUGCCAGAGUUCCUGACCUCACCUGACUCCCUGCAUUGGACCCUGCUUCAGCUUUGAUGGACAGCCUCCAUACCACACCCUCAACCUCGGACUGGACUCGGACCUCGCUGCACAGUUAACCCUUGGGACCAGCACACCCUGAUAGACCUGGAAAUGUCUCCUGCCUGAAACCUUGAAAAGAUACCGCCAACCAGUUAGACAAUACUGAGCUGGAAGGACCUAUAGUCUGACUGUGCAGAAGAUAGCUUCUCAUGGUCCUGCGUUCCUAGGAAUGGCCUUUGACUUUUUUUUUUUUUUUUAACAAUUUCUGCCCCCAGCUUGGCAGCAGUUCCCCCAUCACCACCCC